UACGAAGGGGGCUAGCGUUGUGCGGAAUCACUGGGCGUAAAGCGCACGUAGGCGGAUGUGCCAGUCAGGGGUGAAAUCCCGGAGCUCAACUCCGGAACUGCCUCUGAUACAGCACGUCUUGAGUUCGAGAGAGGUGGGUGGAAUUCCUAGUGUAGAGGUGAAAUUCGUAGAUAUUAGGAAGAACACCGGUGGCGAAGGCGGCCCACUGGCUCGAUACUGACGCUGAGGUGCGAAAGCGUGGGGAGCAAACAGG
RNAcentral lists this ribosomal RNA (253 nucleotides) under uncultured bacterium. RNAcentral describes it as "partial 16S ribosomal RNA". It matches the Rfam family "Bacterial small subunit ribosomal RNA", at positions 524 to 776 of the family's 1533-position model. The record is from RNAcentral.